This is a small nucleolar RNA of Cavia aperea (Brazilian guinea pig), 127 nucleotides long. The record is from Ensembl. NCBI's taxonomy places the organism in Eukaryota, Metazoa, Chordata, Mammalia, Rodentia, Caviidae.
CUUGAGGUCUAUCCCGAUGGAGCUUCUGUAGCUACACAUCGCUGGAAACGCCUCAUAGAGUAACAUUGGUUUUGCUCUACUCACAGGUCUGCUUCUUAGGCCUGUGAUAAAGCACUACAAGACAGCA